CUAGAGAGAUCACUAUAGCUAUCCAAUGGAACCUAGAGAGAUCACUAGCUAUAUGCAAUUUUCAUGACUAUGACAUAUCAUAUUGCUAUCCAAUGGAACCUAGAGAGAUCACUAGCUAUAUUCAAUUUUCAUAACCUUGGAUCAAAGAACACCGCAUAAAAUUGUAUCACUACGACUAUGAUUUCAAUGGAACAUAUUGAACUAAUCAGAUUUUUCAGAUUAUGGAACACUAUUCCAAUUAGAUUGUGUUUCCUUCAACUAAUCAAAAUUGUUUCACUACAACUAUUUGAAGCCAACCAACUAUGAUUCCAAUGGAACAUAUUAAACACUAGUUGAUUCUAAUACGAUUUUUCAGAUUAUGGAACACUAUUCCAAUCAGAUUGUGC
RNAcentral lists this long non-coding RNA (386 nucleotides) under Hordeum vulgare. RNAcentral's name for it is "long non-coding RNA (HVUL_LNC000039)". Lineage: Eukaryota; Viridiplantae; Streptophyta; Magnoliopsida; Poales; Poaceae. The record is from RNAcentral.